This 103-nucleotide microRNA precursor is filed under the name Marmota monax (woodchuck). Lineage: Eukaryota; Metazoa; Chordata; Mammalia; Rodentia; Sciuridae. The record is from RNAcentral.
AGUGGGAUAACUGGGUAAAGUGGUGGUUCCAUUCCAAGUUUUGUGAGGAAUCUCCAUACUGCUUUCCAGAGUGGUUGGACCAAUUUUCAUUCCCACUAGCAAU